RNAcentral lists this signal recognition particle RNA (286 nucleotides) under Phascolarctos cinereus (koala). RNAcentral's name for it is "Metazoan signal recognition particle RNA (ENSPCIG00000014330.2)". It matches the Rfam family "Metazoan signal recognition particle RNA". Rfam says of the family: The signal recognition particle (SRP) is a universally conserved ribonucleoprotein. It is involved in the co-translational targeting of proteins to membranes. The record is from RNAcentral. Lineage: Eukaryota; Metazoa; Chordata; Mammalia; Diprotodontia; Phascolarctidae.
CCUGGUGUUGUAUCCCUGUAAUUCCAGCUACCAAAGAGCCUGAUACUGGAAGAUCUCUGGAGCUCAGGAAUUCUGAGCUACAGUGACUUAGGCCAAUCAGGUGUCUGCACUAAUUUUGGCAUUCACAUAGUGAGGCCCCAGGAGCAGAAGUUAUUUAAAGAGGGGCAAAGUGGCCCAAGUCAGAAAUAGUGCAGGUCAAAGCCUCCAUGCUAUUGUGUAGGAAGAUCAGGCCUGUGAUCAGCCCUUGUACUUUUAGCCUGAAAGUGAUGUAGAGACCCAGUCUUAU